Molecule: ribosomal RNA, 2987 nt
Filed under: Salmonella enterica subsp. enterica serovar London
Lineage: Bacteria; Pseudomonadati; Pseudomonadota; Gammaproteobacteria; Enterobacterales; Enterobacteriaceae
Description: 23S ribosomal RNA
Rfam family: Bacterial large subunit ribosomal RNA
Source: RNAcentral
GGUUAAGCGACUAAGCGUACACGGUGGAUGCCCUGGCAGUCAGAGGCGAUGAAGGGCGUGCUAAUCUGCGAUAAGCGCCGGUAAGGUGAUAUGAACCGUUAUAACCGGCGAUACCCGAAUGGGGAAACCCAGUGUGAUUCGUCACACUAUCAUUAACUGAAUCCAUAGGUUAAUGAGGCGAACCGGGGGAACUGAAACAUCUAAGUACCCCGAGGAAAAGAAAUCAACCGAGAUUCCCCCAGUAGCGGCGAGCGAACGGGGAGGAGCCCAGAGCCUGAAUCAGCAUGUGUGUUAGUGGAAGCGUCUGGAAAGGCGCGCGAUACAGGGUGACAGCCCCGUACACAAAAGCGCAUGUGCUGUGAGCUCGAUGAGUAGGGCGGGACACGUGGUAUCCUGUCUGAAUAUGGGGGGACCAUCCUCCAAGGCUAAAUACUCCUGACUGACCGAUAGUGAACCAGUACCGUGAGGGAAAGGCGAAAAGAACCCCGGCGAGGGGAGUGAAAAAGAACCUGAAACCGUGUACGUACAAGCAGUGGGAGCCUCUUUUAUGGGGUGACUGCGUACCUUUUGUAUAAUGGGUCAGCGACUUAUAUUCUGUAGCAAGGUUAACCGAAUAGGGGAGCCGGAGGGAAACCGAGUCUUAACCGGGCGUUAAGUUGCAGGGUAUAGACCCGAAACCCGGUGAUCUAGCCAUGGGCAGGUUGAAGGUUGGGUAACACUAACUGGAGGACCGAACCGACUAAUGUUGAAAAAUUAGCGGAUGACCUGUGGCUGGGGGUGAAAGGCCAAUCAAACCGGGAGAUAGCUGGUUCUCCCCGAAAGCUAUUUAGGUAGCGCCUCGUGAAUUCAUCUCCGGGGGUAGAGCACUGUUUCGGCUAGGGGGCCAUCCCGGCUUACCAACCCGAUGCAAACUGCGAAUACCGGAGAAUGUUAUCACGGGAGACACACGGCGGGUGCUAACGUCCGUCGUGAAGAGGGAAACAACCCAGACCGCCAGCUAAGGUCCCAAAGUCAUGGUUAAGUGGGAAACGAUGUGGGAAGGCCCAGACAGCCAGGAUGUUGGCUUAGAAGCAGCCAUCAUUUAAAGAAAGCGUAAUAGCUCACUGGUCGAGUCGGCCUGCGCGGAAGAUGUAACGGGGCUAAACCAUGCACCGAAGCUGCGGCAGCGAACGUAUCACUUAAAGCGAUUCAGCGGGUUACGAUUGACGGAGCGAAGCGACGUCAAAGCGUAUACAAAGUCGAGUCGGUUUAAGGAUACGUUCGUUGGGUAGGGGAGCGUUCUGUAAGCCUGCGAAGGUGGCCUGUGAGGGUUGCUGGAGGUAUCAGAAGUGCGAAUGCUGACAUAAGUAACGAUAAAGCGGGUGAAAAGCCCGCUCGCCGGAAGACCAAGGGUUCCUGUCCAACGUUAAUCGGGGCAGGGUGAGUCGACCCCUAAGGCGAGGCCGAAAGGCGUAGUCGAUGGGAAACGGGUUAAUAUUCCCGUACUUGGUGUUACUGCGAAGGGGGGACGGAGAAGGCUAUGUUGGCCGGGCGACGGUUGUCCCGGUUUAAGCGUGUAGGUGUGUGUUCCAGGUAAAUCCGGUUCACUUUAACACUGAGGCGUGAUGACGAGGCACUACGGUGCUGAAGCAACAAAUGCCCUGCUUCCAGGAAAAGCCUCUAAGCAUCAGGUAACAUCAAAUCGUACCCCAAACCGACACAGGUGGUCAGGUAGAGAAUACCAAGGCGCUUGAGAGAACUCGGGUGAAGGAACUAGGCAAAAUGGUGCCGUAACUUCGGGAGAAGGCACGCUGACACGUAGGUGAAGUGAUUUACUCACGGAGCUGAAGUCAGUCGAAGAUACCAGCUGGCUGCAACUGUUUAUUAAAAACACAGCACUGUGCAAACACGAAAGUGGACGUAUACGGUGUGACGCCUGCCCGGUGCCGGAAGGUUAAUUGAUGGGGUCAGCGCAAGCGAAGCUCCUGAUCGAAGCCCCGGUAAACGGCGGCCGUAACUAUAACGGUCCUAAGGUAGCGAAAUUCCUUGUCGGGUAAGUUCCGACCUGCACGAAUGGCGUAAUGAUGGCCAGGCUGUCUCCACCCGAGACUCAGUGAAAUUGAACUCGCUGUGAAGAUGCAGUGUACCCGCGGCAAGACGGAAAGACCCCGUGAACCUUUACUAUAGCUUGACACUGAACAUUGAGCCUUGAUGUGUAGGAUAGGUGGGAGGCUUUGAAGUGUGGACGCCAGUCUGCAUGGAGCCGACCUUGAAAUACCACCCUUUAAUGUUUGAUGUUCUAACGUGGACCCGUAAUCCGGGUUGCGGACAGUGUCUGGUGGGUAGUUUGACUGGGGCGGUCUCCUCCUAAAGAGUAACGGAGGAGCACGAAGGUUGGCUAAUCCUGGUCGGACAUCAGGAGGUUAGUGCAAUGGCAUAAGCCAGCUUGACUGCGAGCGUGACGGCGCGAGCAGGUGCGAAAGCAGGUCAUAGUGAUCCGGUGGUUCUGAAUGGAAGGGCCAUCGCUCAACGGAUAAAAGGUACUCCGGGGAUAACAGGCUGAUACCGCCCAAGAGUUCAUAUCGACGGCGGUGUUUGGCACCUCGAUGUCGGCUCAUCACAUCCUGGGGCUGAAGUAGGUCCCAAGGGUAUGGCUGUUCGCCAUUUAAAGUGGUACGCGAGCUGGGUUUAGAACGUCGUGAGACAGUUCGGUCCCUAUCUGCCGUGGGCGCUGGAGAACUGAGGGGGGCUGCUCCUAGUACGAGAGGACCGGAGUGGACGCAUCACUGGUGUUCGGGUUGUCAUGCCAAUGGCACUGCCCGGUAGCUAAAUGCGGAAGAGAUAAGUGCUGAAAGCAUCUAAGCACGAAACUUGCCCCGAGAUGAGUUCUCCCUGAGACUUAGAGUCUCCUGAAGGAACGUUGAAGACGACGACGUUGAUAGGCCGGGUGUGUAAGCGCAGCGAUGCGUUGAGCUAACCGGUACUAAUGAACCGUGAGGCUUAACCUU